GGAGAUGAGAGAUUGAUUGGAGAGAAUGGAAGGAAAAACAAGCAAGAGGAGAACCUACCUCGAAAAUUUGGAUUCAAUGUGAUAUCUCUUGAUCCGCAUCAGAUUUUGGUGAGAUUUCUCUCGGUCAAAGUCAACAAAUCUUGUUCUGAGGUCUGUAAUCUUUGAAAAUAGGGAGAGAAACUGACAGGGGUGUUGGGCGG
Molecule: long non-coding RNA, 200 nt
Filed under: Solanum tuberosum (potato)
Lineage: Eukaryota; Viridiplantae; Streptophyta; Magnoliopsida; Solanales; Solanaceae
Description: long non-coding RNA (STUB_LNC008855)
Source: RNAcentral